RNAcentral lists this ribosomal RNA (404 nucleotides) under uncultured bacterium. RNAcentral describes it as "bacterial SSU rRNA". It matches the Rfam family "Bacterial small subunit ribosomal RNA", at positions 355 to 776 of the family's 1533-position model. The record is from RNAcentral.
UGGGGAAUAUUGCGCAAUGGGGGAAACCCUGACGCAGCGAUGCCGCGUGGGUGAAGAAGGCCUUCGGGUUGUAAAGCCCUUUCAGUGGGGAAGAUAAUGACGGUACCCACAGAAGAAGCUCCGGCUAACUCCGUGCCAGCAGCCGCGGUAAUACGGAGGGGGCGAGCGUUGUUCGGAAUUACUGGGCGUAAAGGGCGCGUAGGCGGUUUCACAAGUCAGGAGUGAAAAUCUCGGGCUCAACCCGGGACGUGCUUUUGAAACUGUGGGACUAGAGACAGGCAGAGGGUGGUGGAAUUCCCCGUGUAGAGGUGAAAUUCGUAGAUAUGGGGAGGAAGACCGGAGGCGAAGGCGGCCACCUGGACCUGCACUGACGCUGAGGCGCGAAAGCGUGGGGAGCAAACAGG